UUAUUGUUUAAGACACAUUUUGGCAUCCAUCCACUUCAACAACAACUUAAGGCGUGAUGUAAAGAUGAAGAAUGAUGGCAGUUUCCAAAUAAAUGUAGUGUAUCCAAAGUUUAAAAAUGGUGAAGGAACUGUGAGGGAUGUCAGAGUUAAGCCCAAAUUUGAGUAUGUGGAUGAAUUAUUUGAGAGUGUGAUGCUGUCAACAAAAGACAAAGAUGCAUUAUCAAAUUCACAAAAUCUUUUGAAAGAAAUGUCCCCACCAUCAAUGAAUGUCAUGCUGCAAAAGCAACCCAGAGCUGAGGUGUUAUUAAAACAGGUCCGUUGAAAAUGCAUUGUGGUCAAUGAUGUCCCUCCCUCAAUUCCAGCAGCUACCAGUGUGCCAUUCAGCUGUCAGUCAA
Long non-coding RNA from Xenia sp. Carnegie-2017, 395 nucleotides. RefSeq lists it as uncharacterized. The transcript has 3 exons. NCBI's taxonomy places the organism in Eukaryota, Metazoa, Cnidaria, Anthozoa, Malacalcyonacea, Xeniidae. The record is from RefSeq and is a predicted model, not a curated record.